GCGCCCAAAGCCGACGUGAAGGUGAUGCGCGGGAGCACAGAUCCGGGGCAGUGCGCUGCGCAGACGCGCGCGGCGAAGCCGAGUGGGCGCGGGAGUGACGUCACGGCGCGCGACGCGGGGGCGGGGCAACUCGCUGAUGGCGCCCGUAGGCCGCUGGCAGAAGGGCCGCGACCUCACCUGGUACGCCAAGGGCCGGGCGCCGUGCGCGGGCCCGAGCCGCGAGGAGGAACUGGCAGCCGUGCGGGAGGCGGAGCGCGAGGCGCUGCUGGCCGCCCUUGGCUACAAGAACGUGAAGAAGCAACCCACGGGCCUGAGCAAGGAGGACUUCGCGGAGGUCUGCAAGCGGGAAGGAGGCGACCCCGAGGAGAAGGGCGUGGACCGGCUGCUGGGGCUGGGGAGCGCCAGUGGCUCCGUGGGCCGCGUGGCGAUGUCCCGAGAGGAUAAGGAGGCCGCCAAACUGGGGCUGUCUGUGUUCACGCAUCACCGCGUAGAGAGCGGCGGGCCCGGGACCUCGGCAGCCUCGGCCAGGAGGAAGCCGCGGGCGGAGGAUCAGAGGGAAAGCAGGUGAGGCUGCGCCAACUGGGCGAG
This 588-nucleotide small RNA is filed under the name Pongo abelii (Sumatran orangutan). RNAcentral's name for it is "processed transcript". Lineage: Eukaryota; Metazoa; Chordata; Mammalia; Primates; Hominidae. The record is from RNAcentral.